GGGCGAGUGGCGGAAUUGGCAGACGCGCCGGACUUAGGAUCCGGUGGGCAUAGCCCGUGGGAGUUCGAGUCUCCCCUCGCCCA
Molecule: transfer RNA, 83 nt
Filed under: Armatimonadota bacterium
Lineage: Bacteria; Bacillati; Armatimonadota
Also listed under: 2 other names
Description: Armatimonadetes bacterium (hot springs metagenome) tRNA-Leu
Rfam family: tRNA
About the family: Transfer RNA (tRNA) molecules are approximately 80 nucleotides in length.
Source: RNAcentral